UCACUUUGGCAGUGAAUAUACUAAAAUUGGAAUAACACAGAGAUUAGCAUAGCCCCUGUGCAAGGAUGACAUGCAAAUUUGUGAAGCAUUCCACGUUUUU
Molecule: small nuclear RNA, 100 nt
Organism: Callithrix jacchus (white-tufted-ear marmoset)
Lineage: Eukaryota; Metazoa; Chordata; Mammalia; Primates; Cebidae
Source: Ensembl